Molecule: non-coding RNA, 54 nt
Organism: Salmo salar (Atlantic salmon)
Lineage: Eukaryota; Metazoa; Chordata; Actinopteri; Salmoniformes; Salmonidae
Source: Rfam
CCCCUUCCAAUUUGUAAGUCGCUCUGGAUAAGAGCGUCUGCUAAAUGACUUAAA